Molecule: ribosomal RNA, 462 nt
Filed under: Klebsiella pneumoniae
Lineage: Bacteria; Pseudomonadati; Pseudomonadota; Gammaproteobacteria; Enterobacterales; Enterobacteriaceae
Description: bacterial SSU rRNA
Rfam family: Bacterial small subunit ribosomal RNA
Source: RNAcentral
AGAGUCUUGUAGAGGGGGGUAGAAUUCCAGGUGUAGCGGUGAAAUGCGUAGAGAUCUGGAGGAAUACCGGUGGCGAAGGCGGCCCCCUGGACAAAGACUGACGCUCAGGUGCGAAAGCGUGGGGAGCAAACAGGAUUAGAUACCCUGGUAGUCCACGCCGUAAACGAUGUCGAUUUGGAGGUUGUGCCCUUGAGGCGUGGCUUCCGGAGCUAACGCGUUAAAUCGACCGCCUGGGGAGUACGGCCGCAAGGUUAAAACUCAAAUGAAUUGACGGGGGCCCGCACAAGCGGUGGAGCAUGUGGUUUAAUUCGAUGCAACGCGAAGAACCUUACCUGGUCUUGACAUCCACAGAACUUUCCAGAGAUGGAUUGGUGCCUUCGGGAACUGUGAGACAGGUGCUGCAUGGCUGUCGUCAGCUCGUGUUGUGAAAUGUUGGGUUAAGUCCCGCAACGAGCGCAACCC